GGGGCGUCCUAGCGUCGAGUGGUCGAGUACCAAGCUCAGGCGCCGGUCAUAGCGCAGACUGUAAAUCUGCCGGCUCAGCCUUCCCAGGUUCGAAUCCUGGCGCCGCCA
RNAcentral lists this transfer RNA (108 nucleotides) under Streptomyces sp. VNUA74. Its description in RNAcentral is "tRNA-Tyr". The record is from RNAcentral. Lineage: Bacteria; Bacillati; Actinomycetota; Actinomycetes; Kitasatosporales; Streptomycetaceae.